GAUGAACGCUGGCGGCGUGCCUAAUACAUGCAAGUCGAGCGAACGGACGAGAAGCUUGCUUCUCUGAUGUUAGCGGCGGACGGGUGAGUAACACGUGGAUAACCUACCUAUAAGACUGGGAUAACUUCGGGAAACCGUAGCUAAUACCGGAUAAUAUUUUGAACCGCAUGGUUCAAAAGUGAAAGACGGUCUUGCUGUCACUUAUCGAUGGAUCCGCGCUGCAUUAGCUAGUUGGUAAGGUAACGGCUUACCAAGGCAACGAUGCAUAGCCGACCUGAGAGGGUGAUCGGCCACACGGGAACUGAGACACGGUCCAGACUCCUACGGGAGGCAGCAGUAGGGAAUCUUCCGCAAUGGGCGAAAGCCUGACGGAGCAACGCCGCGUGAGUGAUGAAGGUCUUCGGAUCGUAAAACUCUGUUAUUAGGGAAGAACAUAUGUGUAAGUAACUGUGCACAUCUUGACGGUACCUAAUCAGAAAGCCACGGCUAACUACGUG
Molecule: ribosomal RNA, 497 nt
Filed under: uncultured bacterium
Lineage: Bacteria
Description: partial 16S ribosomal RNA
Rfam family: Bacterial small subunit ribosomal RNA
Source: RNAcentral